UGGAACAGUAGUGGAGGCCGGGUGACGUGGGACCUGCUGGGGUCCAUAUGUGUGGAGAGGCGGCCGGUCAUCACGCAGGACCUCCAUGAGAUUGAGCUGCG
This is a non-coding RNA of Cordylochernes scorpioides, 101 nucleotides long. Lineage: Eukaryota; Metazoa; Arthropoda; Arachnida; Pseudoscorpiones; Chernetidae. The record is from the annotation of a GenBank genome assembly.